CCCCUGAAGGCUCAGGGGCCAGUCUGGAGAUAGCCAUGUUUGAUUCCAGGGUUGGGAGGACGGCCCGUGCUGGGAAAACUGGACAGGCCUUCACACUGCUCCUGAAAGUGCAGGUGAGGCUGCGAGGUCUUGGGAGUUUCUGGUGCUGGAGGGUGUUAAGGGGGCUGGCCCAAGAACCCCCUUCCACCAUGAGCUUCCCUCCAGGAGAGGAGAUUCCUCCGGAUGCUGACUGAAGCGGGGGCACCUGAGUUGCAGCGGCACGAGCUCUCCAGCAAGCUGCUGCAGCCGCUGGUUCCUCGGUACGAGGAGGCCCUGUCCCAGCUGGAGGAGUCCGUCAAGGAAGAGCACAAGCAGAGGGCGGCCUAGGCUGGGGCUCAGAGGGCCGGAGGGACUGAGCGCUCACCCCCCUGACCCUCCUUCCAGAGCAGAGCUGACCACUGGAUGCUGCAUGUGAGGAAAGGAAUCCCCCAGUGGACACAGCCUUCCUCCCCAAGCACGUGGUCUCUGCGCCAGGCAGCCCGGGCGUCAGAGCUCAAGCACCCGCCCAGACUGGAGACUUUAGGGUCUGUCACUUUCACAGUGCGAAGGUCAGCAUGGCCGCUGGUGAUGAAGCCUUAGUAAAACGGUGAAAAGUACUCCCCAACAGACGCAGGCACCUGUCAUGCUUCUCCCAAACAGACGCAGGCACCUGUCAUGCUUUUGGCUGAGAGCUGGGGGGAUUAACCUUGAGCUAAUGUUAAAAAUCAAGCUCUUGGCCAGGCGUGGUGGCUCAUGCCUGUAAUUCCAGCACUUUGGGAGGCCAAGGCAGGUGGAUCAUGAGGUCAGGAGAUCAAGACCAUCCUUCCUAACACGGUGAAAGUCCAUCUCUACUAAAAAUACAAAAAAAAAAAAAAAAAAAAAAUUAGCCGGGCGUGGUGGUGGGCGCCUAUAGUCCCAGCUACUCGGGAGGCUGAGGCAGGAGAAUGGCGUGAACCCGGGAGGCAGAGUUUGCAGUGAGCCAAGACUGCGCCACUGCACUCCAGCCUGGGUGACAGAGUGAGACUCUGUCAAAAAAAAAAAGCUCCCCUCCCCAGAUUUGUGAACCUUGUGAUUGUUCAGUGGACACCUCACGUAUUGGUGGUGGGAAGGUCACACGUGGAGACAGCUGGGCAGAGCCUUGGGGUGUUAAACGCAGUCACUCAUGACCCGGCACCUCCUCUCCUACGCACCUUGUACACCCCAGAUCAGUGAGACCUGUAUCUACACAGAAACGCACACAAAUCUCUCAGCAGCAUUGGUCACAGUAGCGAAAAUCUAGAAACUAACCACAUGUCCAUCAGCUGAUGAAUGGAGAAUAAAACGUGGGAAAUCCACACCAGGAGAGAAAAAGGAGCGAGGCACCAGCACAGGCACCACGUGGAUGAACCCGGAACCUGACACUAAGUGAAGGAAGGCUCCGGCUAUAGGGAUGUCCCAGGCACAGCCAGACAUUGAAGGGUGCUGGGGCUGGGAGUGAGCAGGGGUUGGGGCUGGGGACACAGUGGCCAGUGUGUGGGUUUGUUUUGGGGAUGAUGAAAAUGUUCUUGGAUUGUGCUGAUAGCUGCUCACCUCUAAACCUUUUACUAAAAACCAUGGACCGGGUGGAUACAGUGUGUGAAUUCUGUCAGUCCAGCGCUUUGUUUGAAAAAGGUGGAUGAUGCCAACAUCACUAACCACCAGGGAGAUGCAGGCCACGGCCACACCCGGCUCCCGGCUCACCGGAGUUGUGAGGAUGGAAACACCAGCCCACCCCCCUCAAUUCAGACCUCAGCUUAGAUGCAAAGAAUGUCUGGGACGGGGACUGGCAGCUGAUGAGAGAUGCAACCACUGAACCUGUGGACUGUGUUCAAACAAAUGCUAGCAGAACAUAAAGGCGACUGUUACAGGAGGCAGAAAGAAAUGAUUUAGGUAGAUGGGGUAAAGCCAGUCCCCA
Molecule: small RNA, 1951 nt
Filed under: Pongo abelii (Sumatran orangutan)
Lineage: Eukaryota; Metazoa; Chordata; Mammalia; Primates; Hominidae
Description: retained intron
Source: RNAcentral